RNAcentral lists this ribosomal RNA (460 nucleotides) under uncultured bacterium. Its description in RNAcentral is "partial 16S ribosomal RNA". It matches the Rfam family "Bacterial small subunit ribosomal RNA", at positions 338 to 795 of the family's 1533-position model. The record is from RNAcentral.
CCUACGGGAGGCAGCAGUGAGGAAUAUUGGUCAAUGGACGCAAGUCUGAAGCAGCCAUGCCGCGUGCAGGAAGACGGCUCUAUGAGUUGUAAACAGCUUUUGUGCGGGGGUAAACGCAGAUACGCAUAUCUUUCUGAAAGUAUCGUACGAGUAGGGAUCGGCUAACUCCGUUCCAGCAGCCGCGGUAAGACGGAGGAUUCAAGCGUUAUCCGGAUUUACUGGGUUUAAAGGGUGCGUAGGCGGUCGGAUAAGUUAGAGGUGAAAUCCCGAGGCUCAACCUCGGAAUGGCCUCUGAUACUGGUCGGCUAGAGAGUAGUUGCGGUAGGCAGAAUGUAUGGUGUAGCGGUGAAAUGCUUAGAGAUCAUACAGAACACCGAUUGCGAAGGCAGCCUACCAAGCUACGUCUGACGCUGAGGUACGAAAGCGUGGGGAGCAAACAGGAUUAGAUACCCCGGUAGUC